CCUUGGAUCUUUAAACUUAUGAGACUAAUCUGCCAAACCUAUUUAAAAUAUUAAAAGCAAAAUUAAUCUCUAUUCGAUGACAUUAAUAAAAUUAAAAUAAUAAGAAAAAAAUGAUUGAGCAAGUGAUGGCAUUUGAUGGCUUCGAAUGGAUUAGGUCUAAGCGACUCAAUUAAUUAAUCAUAAAGCAUGGACUUAAUCAAGG
This 202-nucleotide long non-coding RNA is filed under the name Elaeis guineensis (African oil palm). RNAcentral describes it as "long non-coding RNA (EGUI_LNC041057)". The record is from RNAcentral. Lineage: Eukaryota; Viridiplantae; Streptophyta; Magnoliopsida; Arecales; Arecaceae.